RNAcentral lists this ribosomal RNA (308 nucleotides) under Bothropolys xanti. RNAcentral describes it as "eukaryotic LSU rRNA". It matches the Rfam family "Eukaryotic large subunit ribosomal RNA", at positions 964 to 1266 of the family's 3401-position model. Lineage: Eukaryota; Metazoa; Arthropoda; Chilopoda; Lithobiomorpha; Ethopolyidae. The record is from RNAcentral.
AAGUUUCCCUCAGGAUAGCUGGCGCUCGGAUGUAACGCAGUCUCAUCCGGUAAAGCGAAUGAUUAGAGGCCUUGGGGCCGAAACGACCUCAACCUAUUCUCAAACUUUCAAUGGGUGAGAAGUCCGGCUUGCUCGACUGAAGCCCGGACGUCGGAUGCGAGUGCCCAGUGGGCCACUUUUGGUAAGCAGAACUGGCGCUGUGGGAUGAACCAAACGCCGGGUUACGGCGCCCGAUGCGGACGCUCAUCAGACCCCAUGAAAGGUGUUGGUUGCUAUUGACAGCAGGACGGUGGCCAUGGAAGUCGGAA